This 415-nucleotide ribosomal RNA is filed under the name uncultured Actinomycetes bacterium. RNAcentral describes it as "bacterial SSU rRNA". It matches the Rfam family "Bacterial small subunit ribosomal RNA", at positions 505 to 918 of the family's 1533-position model. The record is from RNAcentral. Lineage: Bacteria; Bacillati; Actinomycetota; Actinomycetes.
GUGCCAGCAGCCGCGGUAAUACGUAGGGGGCUAGCGUUGUCCGGAUUUAUUGGGCGUAAAGAGCGUGUAGGCGGCCAGGCAGGUCCGCUGUGAAAACUCGAGGCUUAACCUCGAGACGUCGGUGGAAACCGUCUGGCUAGAGUCCGGAAGAGGAGAGUGGAAUUCCCGGUGUAGCGGUGGAAUGCGCAGAUAUCGGGAAGAACACCCGUGGCGAAGGCGGCUCUCUGGGACGGUACUGACGCUGAGACGCGAAAGCGUGGGGAGCGAACAGGAUUAGAUACCCUGGUAGUCCACGCCGUAAACGAUGGGUGCUAGGUGUGGGCGGUGUCGACUCCGUCCGUGCCGAAGCUAACGCAUUAAGCACCCCGCCUGGGGAGUACGGCCGCAAGGCUAAAACUCAAAUGAAUUGACGGGA